Molecule: ribosomal RNA, 641 nt
Filed under: uncultured soil bacterium
Lineage: Bacteria
Description: bacterial SSU rRNA
Rfam family: Bacterial small subunit ribosomal RNA
Source: RNAcentral
CCAAUCCCAUCGCGGCGAAGCUAACGCGAUAAGCGAUCCGCCUGGGGAGUACGGUCGCAAGGCUGAAACUCAAAGGAACUGACGGGGGCCCGCACAAGCGGUGGAGCAUGUGGUUCAAUUCGACGCAACGCGAAGAACCUUACCUGGGCUCGAAAUGUAGUGGACCGGGGUGGAAACAUCCCUUCCCGCAAGGGCCGCUAUAUAGGUGCUGCAUGGCUGUCGUCAGCUCGUGUCGUGAGAUGUUGGGUUAAGUCCCGCAACGAGCGCAACCCUUAUUGCCAGUUACUAACACAUCAUGGUGAGAACUCUGGCGAAACUGCCUCGGAUAACGAGGAGGAAGGUGGGGAUGACGUCAAGUCCUCAUGGCCUUUAUGUCCAGGGCUACACACGUGCUACAAUGGUCGGUACAAACCGUCGCAAACCCGCGAGGGGGAGCUAAUCGGAAAAAGCCGGCCUCAGUUCGGAUUGGAGUCUGCAACUCGACUCCAUGAAGCUGGAAUCGCUAGUAAUCGCGGAUCAGCACGCCGCGGUGAAUACGUUCCCGGGCCUUGUACACACCGCCCGUCACAUCACGAAAGUGGGUUGUACUAGAAGUCGUCGUGCCAACCGCAAGGAGGCAGACGCCCAAGGUAUAAUUCAUG